CCAGGGGCAAUUCCCAUGCCGAUGCAAAUGCAGAUUCCUGCAGCUUCUUAUUUACCGGAACGGCAGGUGACAGCUGGCACUUAUCAAACGGAGCAGCAGCCUGUUUAUUACUUGCAUGCUGCUCCUGGCACUGGUGGUUUGUAUUCAGCUCCGUCAACGCGACCGCCAGCCAGUCAAGCGUAUUACGGAGUGCAGAGGAUCGUACAGGAACAGCCUAUGUACAAUUUAGUACCGGCGUCAGCACCAGCACCCGGUUCCAUUCAGCAGCAGCAGGCUAAAAUUGGGGGUUAUAGUGAAGGGGUUGGGGUUGUGCAAGUGGGGUAUGAUGGCGCAG
RNAcentral lists this long non-coding RNA (334 nucleotides) under Citrus sinensis (sweet orange). RNAcentral's name for it is "long non-coding RNA (CSIN_LNC001421)". The record is from RNAcentral. Lineage: Eukaryota; Viridiplantae; Streptophyta; Magnoliopsida; Sapindales; Rutaceae.